Molecule: unclassified non-coding RNA, 2813 nt
Filed under: Hevea brasiliensis (rubber tree)
Lineage: Eukaryota; Viridiplantae; Streptophyta; Magnoliopsida; Malpighiales; Euphorbiaceae
Source: RNAcentral
UGUUUCGAAGAACGCGUCCCAGGGAGGCAAUUCAUUCCUCCUUUUAAAUAUUCUAUACGUGUCUAGAGCCUUCUCUCAAGUAGAAUAAGAAAUCUGCAGGUUGUAUCUGGAGAUUUGAGUUUCUGGAUUUUUCUCUGUGUUUGAUUUGGUAUAGUGGAAAAGAAGGAAGAUGUUUGGGAGAGCACCUAAGAAGAGUGAUAACAGCCGCUACUAUGAGAUAUUGGGUGUUUCGAAGAACGCGUCCCAGGAUGAUUUGAAGAAGGCUUAUAAGAAGGCCGCUAUGAAGAACCAUCCUGAUAAGGGAGGCGAUCCGGAGAAGUUCAAGGAACUGGCCCAGGCUUAUGAAGUUUUGAGCGAUCCAGAGAAACGUGAGAUCUAUGAUACAUACGGUGAGGAUGCUCUUAAGGAAGGAAUGGGUGGUGGCGGUGGUGGCCAUAACCCUUUUGACAUUUUUGAGUCCUUUGGUGGGAGUCCAUUUGGAGGUGGCAGUAGCCGAGGAAGGAGGCAGAGACGCGGAGAGGAUGUUGUUCAUCCAUUGAAGGUCUCUUUGGAGGAUCUAUAUCUUGGUACAGCUAAGAAGCUUUCUCUAUCCCGCAAUGUUAUAUGCUCAAAGUGCAAGGGAAAGGGAUCAAAAUCAGGAGCUUCAAUGAAGUGCCCUGGUUGUCAGGGCUCUGGUAUGAAGGUUUCAAUAAGGCAGCUUGGCCCAUCAAUGAUUCAGCAGAUGCAGCAUCCUUGCAAUGAAUGUAAGGGUACUGGUGAGUCAAUUAGUGAGAAGGAUAAAUGCGUGCAAUGCAAGGGUGAGAAAGUUGUUCCAGAGAAGAAGGUGUUGGAAGUCAUAGUGGAAAAGGGCAUGCGUCAUGGGCAGAAAAUUACAUUCCCUGGUGAAGCUGAUGAAGCGGUAUGUUGCAGACUUGAUGUCUUUUUGAGUAUACUGGAUUAAAUUUGUUUGUUUUGUUGUUGUGUUUCGUAGACUGAUACGAUCACUGGAGAUAUAGUUUUUGUCCUUCAGCAAAAGGAACAUCAAAAAUUCAAGAGAAAGGGGGAUGACCUUAUUGUUGAGCAAAUUCUAUCCCUCACCGAAGCUCUUUGUGGGUAUCAGUUUGUAUUGACACACUUGGAUGGGAGACAGCUUCUCAUAAAAUCAAACACUGGGGAAGUUGUCAAGCCUGAUUCAUACAAGGCAAUUAAUGAUGAGGGUAUGCCCAUGUACCAAAGGCCAUUCAUGAAGGGGAAGCUAUAUAUUCAUUUUACUGUGGAAUUUCCUGAUUCUUUGACUCCAGAUCAAGUUAAAGCACUAGAGGCAAUUUUGCCUCCAAGGCCAUUGAGUCAGCUGACGGAUAUGGACCUGGAUGAAUGUGAGGAGACCACCCUACGUGAUGUUAAUAUGGAGGAGGAAAUGAGAAGGAAGCAGCAGGGCCAUGCUCAUCAGGAUGCAUAUGAGGAGCAUGAGGAGAUGCCUAGCGGCGGACAAAGGGUUCAAUGCGCCCAGCAGUGAUAGAAUUGAAUCCAGUGUUGAAAUACAGGGCUAAUUUCUAAGUAAUUGUAAUCCACUCGUGAAACACGUGAUAAUCAGAAAUUUUCAGGAAAUGAGUAAAUGGCAUAUUUUUCUGGAUGGUUCCCUUUCAUUUUGUGGUUUCCAAUUGGAUUAUUUAUUAUUUCUUGAAGAAGAAAACCCCAUAACUGCUGAGUUGGUUCUUUAGGGUAGAUUUCAUGUUGUGUUUCUUUGUGUAGGUUACAUUCUAUGCUUUGAUGAAUUUGAUCAGCUUCGAAUGUGGCAGCUUCGAUUUGAGAAAAAUCAGCUUUUUAGUCUGAUUUUUUAAUAGUUUGAUUUGGUUUUAAUUUUAUUUUUUAAAAAAUUAAUUAUUUGAUACGAUUUAAUUAAUUAAAUAAAAAAAAAAUUAAUCGAAUCAAUCUCUAUUAAUAUGACAUUAUUUUUACACUUCUCUUACUUCAGGUAUUUAAGUUUUUUCAUUUUUACCUUCUCUCAUUUUAUCGCGUGGCCGUUCAUAUCCCCUCCCACCCUCUCCCUCCUCUCUUUUUUUUUCUGCCUAUCUCUCAUUUCAUUGCAUGAUAGUCCCACGCCACUCUCCUUUCUUCUUUUUCUUUUUCAGUUCCUCUCCCUGCCUAUCUUCCUCAGUUAAUCUUUCCUUUGAGCUAGAAUCGCACAGCUUCAUUGGUCGUGCCUUCUGUUUUAGCAAGGACUCUGUUGCAGUUUCUCUUGGAGGAAAAGAUGUGCUUUGCUUGGAUUUUCCACCUUGAUUUGCUGCUUUGUACCAUUUAGAUCUGGUGAUCAGCAAUCUUGUGUUCAUGAGCUCUUCGCUUUUUCAUUUGCUUGAAUUCUUCCGAUACAUCUGAGUUUGAUUUGAAGCUUGCAUAUUAUUUUAGGCUUGCAUAUUUGUUGAGAUUGAAAUGUAUUUGAUGCAUUUGUGUUAAUUGAAACAAUUUUAAUUUUUAUUUUCAUUCUGUGUUUUUGAGUUUGCAUUGAUGAAUUGAGAAAUUUUUUUUUUUUUUUAGGUUUUGGGUGGAGUUUGGCUCUACUACUAUGCACCGGAAGUGUCACGAAACCGAUCAUACUAAAUCGUGUCAAACUAAUUUUUUUGAGUUCGGUUUGAUACGGUUUUACUAUUACUUUAGUUCGAUCUCGGUUCAUAAAAAUAUUAUUUUUAGUAAUUCGAUUUUUAAACUUCAGUUCAGAAUCGAACUAAUCUGUAAUCUUAUCAAUUUAUUCUAAAUUUCACUUAUUUUACAAGUAUUGAUAUUAUAUUUAAUUAAAAAAAAUGUUUCUUAAUAUAUUGAGAUAAUUUCAAGUUAAU